This 76-nucleotide transfer RNA is filed under the name Desulfuromonadales bacterium. RNAcentral describes it as "tRNA-Thr". It matches the Rfam family "tRNA". From Rfam's summary of the family: Transfer RNA (tRNA) molecules are approximately 80 nucleotides in length. Lineage: Bacteria; Pseudomonadati; Thermodesulfobacteriota; Desulfuromonadia; Desulfuromonadales. RNAcentral also lists the same sequence under 1 other name. The record is from RNAcentral.
GCCACCUUAGCUCAGCCGGUAGAGCAACUGAUUCGUAAUCAGUAGGUCGGCGGUUCGAUUCCGCCAGGUGGCUCCA